RNAcentral lists this ribosomal RNA (1977 nucleotides) under Triticum aestivum (bread wheat). RNAcentral describes it as "partial small subunit ribosomal RNA". Lineage: Eukaryota; Viridiplantae; Streptophyta; Magnoliopsida; Poales; Poaceae. The record is from RNAcentral.
AUGGCGGAGAUGCAGCACGUGGUGAAGGUCGAGGAGGGCCGCCCGGCCGCCGACGGCCGGCCCUCGGUGGGGCCCACCUACCGGAGCGCCUUCGCCCGCGACGGCUUCCCGGCGCCCGUCGACGGCCUGGACAGCUGCUACGACAUCUUCCGAAUGGCAGUGGAGAAGUAUCCAAACAACAGAAUGCUUGGUCACCGUGCGAUUGUUGAUGGGAAGGCUGGUGCAUACGUUUGGAGGACAUAUAAGGAGGUGUUUGACAUUGCAAAUAAAAUCGGUAACUCUAUUAGGAGCUGUGGACUCACGAAGGGCAGUCGUUGCGGUAUAUAUGGUGCUAAUAGCCCUGAAUGGAUCAUCACGAUGGAGGCUUGCAAUGCCCAUGGAGUCUACUGUGUUCCAUUAUAUGACACUCUUGGGGCUGGUGCGAUAGAGUUUAUUCUGUGCCAUGCAGAAGUUGAGAUUGCCUUUGCAGAGGAGAAGAAAGUUGCGGAGCUCUUGAAGACAUUUCCCAAGUCAACUGAGUUCUUGAAAACCAUUGUGAGUUUUGGUAAAGUGACACAAGAACAAAAGGAAGAAGUUUCCAAGUAUGGGCUCUCAAUAUACUCAUGGGAUGAGUUCAUAUCUUUGGCAGGUGACCAAGAAUUUGAUCUUCCAGUGAAUCAAAGGACAGAUAUAUGUACUAUAAUGUACACUAGUGGAACUACUGGCGACCCCAAAGGUGUACUGAUAUCCAAUGCGAGCAUUAUCUGUCUCAUUGCAGGUGUGGACCGGCUUCUUAACUCUGUAAACGAGCGGCUGGAGGAAACAGACGUUUAUAUGUCUUAUCUUCCUCUUGCUCAUAUCUUUGACCGAGUUGUGGAAGAGCUGUUUAUGUUCCAUGGUGCAUCUAUUGGAUUUUGGCGUGGGGAUGUUAAGUUACUGGUUGAGGAUAUUGGUACACUGAAACCAACUAUCUUAUGUGCUGUGCCACGUGUUCUUGAUCGGAUAUUUUCUGGGCUUCAAGCUAAAAUCUCAGCUGGUGGUUUCAUAAAGAGCACGAUGUUCAAUCUUGCUUACAAAUUCAAGCAGUUUAGAAUGAUGAGGGGAGCUAAGCACAAUGAAGCUGCUGCAAUAUGUGACAAAGUAGUUUUCAGUAAGGUGAAAGAAGGUCUUGGAGGAAAUGUCCGUGUAAUUUUAUCCGGAGCUGCCCCACUUGCCACUCAUGUGGAAGAAUACCUGCGAGUGGUGACAUGCGCACAUGUUUUACAAGGAUAUGGUCUCACGGAAACUUGUGCUGGAUCAUUUGUCUCGCUACCAAAUCAGAUGUCCAUGAUAGGGACUGUUGGUCCUCCAGUUCCAAAUAUUGAUGCCCGCCUAGAAUCUGUCCCUGACAUGAAUUAUGAUGCACUUGCAAGCACACCUCGUGGAGAAAUCUGCAUCAAGGGAGAAACAUUAUUCUCAGGGUACUACAGGCGUGAAGACCUUACAGAGGAAGUUUUGGUUGAUGGAUGGUUCCAUACAGGGGACAUUGGCGAGUGGCAACCUGAUGGAAGUAUGAAGAUCAUUGAUCGGAAGAAGAAUAUCUUCAAGCUUUCACAAGGAGAAUAUGUAGCAGUUGAAAAUUUGGAGAACAUUUACGGUGUUGUUUCUGCUAUAGACUCGAUAUGGGUAUAUGGAAAUAGUUUCGAGUCAUUCCUUGUUGCCGUAGUCAAUCCUAACAAGGAAGCCCUUGAGAGCUGGGCUGAGGGAAAUGGAAUCAGUGGUGAUUUUGAGGCACUAUGUGAGAAUCCAAAAGCAAAAGAAUAUAUUUUGGGGGAACUCUCAAAAACAGGAAAAGAGAAGAAGCUCAAAGGUUUUGAAUUCAUAAGAGCUGUGCACCUUGACCCAGUGCCGUUUGACAUGGAGCGUGACCUGAUCACUCCAACAUAUAAAAGGAAGCGGCCGCAGUUGCUCAAGUACUACCAGGGCGCAAUUGACAACAUGUACAAAAGUGCUAAAUGA